AGUAGCUCAAUUGGUAGAGCGGCGGUCUCCAAAACCGCAGGUUGGGGGUUCGAUUCCCUCCUGG
This 64-nucleotide transfer RNA is filed under the name marine eukaryotic metagenome. It matches the Rfam family "tRNA", at positions 6 to 65 of the family's 71-position model. From Rfam's summary of the family: Transfer RNA (tRNA) molecules are approximately 80 nucleotides in length. The record is from RNAcentral.